This 427-nucleotide ribosomal RNA is filed under the name uncultured bacterium. RNAcentral describes it as "partial 16S ribosomal RNA". It matches the Rfam family "Bacterial small subunit ribosomal RNA", at positions 355 to 774 of the family's 1533-position model. The record is from RNAcentral.
UGGGGAAUAUUGGACAAUGGGCGAAAGCCUGAUCCAGCCAUGCCGCGUGUGUGAAGAAGGUCUUCGGAUUGUAAAGCACUUUAAGUUGGGAGGAAGGGCAUUAACCUAAUACGUUAGUGUUUUGACGUUACCGACAGAAUAAGCACCGGCUAACUCUGUGCCAGCAGCCGCGGUAAUACAGAGGGUGCAAGCGUUAAUCGGAAUUACUGGGCGUAAAGCGCGCGUAGGUGGUUUGUUAAGUUGGAUGUGAAAUCCCCGGGCUCAACCUGGGAACUGCAUUCAAAACUGACUGACUAGAGUAUGGUAGAGGGUGGUGGAAUUUCCUGUGUAGCGUUGAAAUGCGUAGAUAUAGGAAGGAACACCAGUGGCGAAGGCGACCACCUGGACUAAUACUGACACUGAGGUGCGAAAGCGUGGGGAGCAAACA